Non-coding RNA from Caenorhabditis elegans, 145 nucleotides. Lineage: Eukaryota; Metazoa; Nematoda; Chromadorea; Rhabditida; Rhabditidae. The record is from Ensembl.
UGGCGAGAGGGUAAAUAUGCAACACUGCAUACCAUCAGUAGAGCGUCCAUAGAGCCGUGAAGGAAAAGGGCACAGUGAUAGGUGGUAGUGUUGAAGUGUCAAUACAAUUUAGUACUUUUUCUCUUUCCACAUAUUUUUGUCGCUA